Molecule: ribosomal RNA, 254 nt
Filed under: uncultured bacterium
Lineage: Bacteria
Description: partial 16S ribosomal RNA
Rfam family: Bacterial small subunit ribosomal RNA
Source: RNAcentral
UACGUAGGGGGCAAGCGUUGUCCGGAUUUAUUGGGCGUAAAGAGCUCGUAGGUGGUUCGGUAAGUCGGAUGUGAAAUCUCCAGGCUCAACCUGGAGGGGUCAUUCGAUACUGCCGUGACUAGAGGUCGGUAGGGGAGUCUGGAAUUCCUGGUGUAGCGGUGAAAUGCGCAGAUAUCAGGAGGAACACCGGUGGCGAAGGCGGGACUCUGGGCCGAUACUGACGCUGAGGAGCGAAAGCGUGGGGAGCAAACAGG